This 86-nucleotide transfer RNA is filed under the name Azospirillum thermophilum. Its description in RNAcentral is "tRNA-Leu". It matches the Rfam family "tRNA". Rfam says of the family: Transfer RNA (tRNA) molecules are approximately 80 nucleotides in length. Their secondary structure includes four short double-helical elements and three loops (D, anti-codon, and T loops). The record is from RNAcentral. Lineage: Bacteria; Pseudomonadati; Pseudomonadota; Alphaproteobacteria; Rhodospirillales; Azospirillaceae.
GCGGGCGUGGCGGAACAGGCAGACGCAAGGGACUUAAAAUCCCUCACCGAUACGGUAUGCGGGUUCGAAUCCCGCCGCCCGCACCA